RNAcentral lists this transfer RNA (68 nucleotides) under Goniurosaurus luii. RNAcentral's name for it is "tRNA-Phe". Lineage: Eukaryota; Metazoa; Chordata; Lepidosauria; Squamata; Eublepharidae. The record is from RNAcentral.
GUUCCUGUAACUUAAAAACCAAAGUAUGGCACUGAAGAUGCCACGAUGGAUAAUUUUUCCCAGAAACA